This 2076-nucleotide ribosomal RNA is filed under the name Triticum aestivum (bread wheat). RNAcentral's name for it is "partial small subunit ribosomal RNA". Lineage: Eukaryota; Viridiplantae; Streptophyta; Magnoliopsida; Poales; Poaceae. The record is from RNAcentral.
AUGGAUAUAACGGAGGUGACGGUGGUGCACCACGUCGCGCUGGUGCUGGCCGCGCUCUGGGCCGCCGGGAACGCCGGCUGGGCGCACCCGGCGCUCUUCCUCCUCGCCCUCGUCUACAUCUUCGCGGUAAAUGCACGGUACACAAUGAGACUGAAGAAGCGAUUACAGUUUGAGGAAAAGAAAAGUGCCAACCAAAGAAGGCUCCUCUCUGAUGCAGAGACAGUGAGGUGGCUAAAUUAUGCUGUUGAGAAGAUGUGGCCAGUGUGCAUGGAAAGGGUUGCAUCCCAGCAGUUCCUUUUGCCCAUAUUCCCCUGGUUCAUAAGCAAGUUCAAACCAUGGACCGCAAGGAAAGCAGAGAUCCAAAGCCUUUACUUGGGUCGGAAUCCGCCGAUGUUUACAGAUAUCAGGGUCGUCAGUCAAUCGACUGAUGAUGACCAUCUGGUUCUGGAGCUAGGAAUGAACUUCCUUGCUGCAGAUGAUAUGGAUGCAAGGAUGGCUGUACAACUGAGGAAGAGAUUCGGGUUUGGUAUUACAGCAAACAUGCAUAUAACUGGCAUGCAUAUUGAAGGCAAGGUCCUUGUUGGUGUGAGGUUUCUUCAACAGUGGCCCUUUAUUGGGCGUGUACGAGUAUGCUUUGUUGAGCCUCCAUACUUCCAGAUGACAGUGAAGCCGCUAUUUAGUCAUGGGCUUGACGUGACUGAACUUCCAGGAAUUUCUGGAUGGCUUGACAGAAUGUUGGAUGUUGCCUUUGGACAGACCCUAGUUGAGCCUAACAUGCUAGUUAUUGAUAUGGAGAAGUUUGCCUCGGAGUCGGAAUCUACAGAUAAUUGGUUUACUGUUGAUGAGAAGCCACCUAUUGCGCAUGCCAAGGUAGAGAUCAUGGAGGGGGCUGACAUGAAACCUUCUGACCCAAAUGGUUUAUCGGACCCGUAUGUGAAAGGCCAGCUCGGACCAUACCGUUUCCAGACAAAGAUCCAUAAGAAAACUCUCAACCCCAAAUGGCUGGAGCAGUUCAAGAUACCAAUUACUUCAUGGGAAUCAUCUAAUCUUCUUUCUCUUCAAGUUCGAGACAAGGACCAUAUCUUUGAUGACCCACUUGGCAAUUGUUCAAUCAGUACCAAUAAACUGAGAGGAGGACAAAGACACGAUAUGUGGAUUCCACUAAAGCAUAUAAAGACAGGGAGGGUUCAUAUAGCUGUCACGGUACUUGAAGAUGAAAAUGGAAAGGUACCUAGUGAUGAAGAUGAACUGUGUGGAACACCCAAGGAGGGGAAAGCUAGCACACCAGGGUCUAGUUUUUCUUCGAAGACCAACACCGAGAGUGCAUCUUCUGCGGGAUACCGGAAUAUGACCGAUGAAUAUGAACCUGUGGACAUCAAAGGACUGGAAAAGGCUGGAGUCUGGGUACAUCGGCCGGGCAGCGAUGUCGCCGCUACCUGGGAGCCUCGGAAGGGGCGAGCGCGGUGCCAGGAUUCCCAAAUACUACGGGAGAACGAUGGCUGCAGCGAUAGCCCCAGGUCAUCGGUGUCGGAGUCUCAGACAAGCAACUCCAGCACCGAAGAACCAGCCAGCGGCAACAAAUCUCAUCGCCACCUCCGCAAGGUGAAGAAGGGUUUGGUGAAACUGGCUGGAGCUAUGCGCCACAACAAGAACUCCAAGAGCGUGAGCGAUGACGACGAAACCUCUCCGUGCGAAACGCCGCACCCGAACAUACGGCCUGUCGGAGAAAGCAGGGUGUCGGUAACGUAUGUCGUCGACGAAGACCCCGGGAACAGCAGCAUGGAGCGGAGGUCAGAUGACCAGCACUCCAGCCCCGAGAGGGCCGGCGACGAGAGCCCGACAAAGGGACAGCUGAGGAAGAAGGCGGCGCAUAUGGUGAAACAUGCAGGGAAAGCCGCUCAUAACCUGAAGAGCAUGCUCAGCAGGAAAGGUCUUGACAAGGGCAAGGAAGACGAGUGCAGAAACGAGGAGGAAGGCGAUCUCGAUGUGACGAGAGUUGAUUCUUUUCCUGCACGCGGCGGCGCUGUGGGCGAUGCUGCGGAGUCCUUGGCUGAUGGCAAGGACAAAUUGCUGUAG